CGGUGCCUGGUAGCGUCGGAAACCACCGCGGGGAUCUCCUCUGUCACCAUCGGCUGUAGGAAGAAGAAAAGCUUUCCCACGGGCCCUGCCUAUCAACACCACACCAGUCAGGCCCGACUGUUUAACUGGAAGCGACUUCAUGUGUAGUUGCUUUCACGCAAGGAAAGCGUACUCCAAGCGUACUCAAAUUCCUAUAAUCUUCUAAAAAGCCUAGUUAUGAUU
RNAcentral lists this long non-coding RNA (222 nucleotides) under Hordeum vulgare. RNAcentral describes it as "long non-coding RNA (HVUL_LNC003950)". The record is from RNAcentral. Lineage: Eukaryota; Viridiplantae; Streptophyta; Magnoliopsida; Poales; Poaceae.